AAGAAAAAUGGACCACAAAAAAGAUAUGAUGGAUUGAAAUCGGGGCAGUGCCUUUCGAUAGAAAGGUCAGUUGCUCUUAGAAAGUUUUGCAAGUGGGGGAAGAGAGGUCACGAUAGAUCAAGAGCUAUUUUUGAUUAG
Non-coding RNA from Caenorhabditis elegans, 138 nucleotides. The record is from Ensembl. Lineage: Eukaryota; Metazoa; Nematoda; Chromadorea; Rhabditida; Rhabditidae.